This 445-nucleotide ribosomal RNA is filed under the name uncultured bacterium. Its description in RNAcentral is "bacterial SSU rRNA". It matches the Rfam family "Bacterial small subunit ribosomal RNA", at positions 330 to 792 of the family's 1533-position model. The record is from RNAcentral.
ACCAGACUCCUACGGGAGGCAGCAGUGGGGAAUAUUGCACAAUGGGGGAAACCCUGAUGCAGCGACGCCGCGUGAGUGAAGAAGUAUUUCGGUAUGUAAAGCUCUAUCAGCAGGGAAGAUAAUGACGGUACCUGACUAAGAAGCCCCGGCUAACUACGUGCCAGCAGCCGCGGUAAUACGUAGGGGGCAAGCGUUAUCCGGAUUUACUGGGUGUAAAGGGUGCGCAGGUGGCAGGGCAAGUCAGAUGUGAAAGCCCGGGGCUCAACCCCGGUAUUGCAUUUGAAACUGUCCGGCUAGAGUGCAGGAGAGGUAAGCGGAAUUCCUAGUGUAGCGGUGAAAUGCGUAGAUAUUAGGAGGAACACCAGUGGCGAAGGCGGCUUACUGGACUGUAACUGACGUUGAGGCUCGAAGGCGUGGGGAGCAAACAGGAUUAGAUACCCUAGUA